RNAcentral lists this ribosomal RNA (539 nucleotides) under uncultured Mycoplasma sp. Its description in RNAcentral is "bacterial SSU rRNA". It matches the Rfam family "Bacterial small subunit ribosomal RNA", at positions 386 to 922 of the family's 1533-position model. Lineage: Bacteria; Bacillati; Mycoplasmatota; Mollicutes; Mycoplasmatales; Mycoplasmataceae. The record is from RNAcentral.
AUGGAGCAAUACCACGUGAACGAUGAAGGUCUUCUGAUUGUAAAGUUCUUUUAUUUAGGAAAAAAAGCUGGGCAGGAAAUGGCCCAGCCUUGAUCGUACUAAAUGAAUAAGUGACAGCUAACUAUGUGCCAGCAGCUGCGGUAAAACAUAGGUCACGAGCAUUAUCCGGAUUUAUUGGGCGUAAAGGAAGCGUAGGCGGACAAGCCGAUCUAUUGUGAAAGGCACUUGCUUAACAAGUUGUUUGUGAUAGAAAUCACUUGUCUAGAAUUAGUUAGGAGAUACUGGAAUUCAAUGUGUAGCGGUGGAAUGCGUAGAUAUAUUGAGGAACACCAGAGGCUAAGGCGAGUAUCUAGGACAUAAUUGACGCUGAGGCUUGAAAGCGUGGGGAGCAAAUGGGAUUAGAUACCCCAGUAGUCCACGCCGUAAACGAUGGGUAUUAGGUAUUUGAUUUAUGAUUGAGUGCUGUAGCUAACGCGUUAAAUACCCCGCCUGGGUAGUAUAUAUGCAAAUAUGAAACUCAAAGAAAUUGACGGGGACCU